Molecule: non-coding RNA, 186 nt
Filed under: Verrucomicrobiales bacterium
Lineage: Bacteria; Pseudomonadati; Verrucomicrobiota; Verrucomicrobiia; Verrucomicrobiales
Description: 6S RNA
Rfam family: 6S / SsrS RNA
About the family: E. coli 6S RNA was the first non coding RNA to be sequenced, but its function was unknown until recently. It consists of 184 nucleotides that fold into an extended hairpin structure with a large single-stranded internal bulge. The 6S RNA specifically associates with RNA polymerase holoenzyme containing the sigma70 specificity factor.
Source: RNAcentral
AAUUUCCUGCUGUGUUCGCGACGCCUGGCCAUGGAGCCCGCUCCGAUAAUUCAGUAGAGGAGGUUUUGCCGUUCAGACCGAUGCCAGGCCUUUUCAGGAAGGCAGAAGCUGGGAUGGCGGCCGCCACCUUUGUAGAGCCUUGGGAACGAGUCGCUCUCGGCCAUAGACGGCACAAGCGGGAUUCCA